GGUUGUGGCUCAGUGGUAGAAUGCUUGCCUAGCAUGUGUGAGGCACUGGGUUCCAUCCCCAGCGCCA
RNAcentral lists this transfer RNA (67 nucleotides) under Marmota monax (woodchuck). RNAcentral describes it as "tRNA.Ala". Lineage: Eukaryota; Metazoa; Chordata; Mammalia; Rodentia; Sciuridae. The record is from RNAcentral.